GAAAUGCGAUAAGUAAUGUGAAUUGCAGAAUUCAGUGAAUCAUCGAAUCUUUGAACGCACCUUGCGCUCCUUGGUAUUCCGAGGAGCAUGCCUGUUUGAGUGUCAUGAAAUCUUCAACCUACAAGCUUUUGUGGUUUGUAGGCUUGGACUUGGAGGCUUGUCGGCCGUUAUCGGUCGGCUCCUCUUAAAUGCAUUAGCUUGGUUCCUUGCGGAUCGGCUCUCGGUGUGAUAAUGUCUACGCCGCGACCGUGAAGCGUUUGGCGAGCUUCUAACCGUCUUAUAAGACAGCUUUAUGACCUCUGACCUCAAAUCAGGUAGGACUACCCGCUGAACUUAA
Molecule: non-coding RNA, 337 nt
Filed under: Ganoderma lucidum
Lineage: Eukaryota; Fungi; Basidiomycota; Agaricomycetes; Polyporales; Polyporaceae
Also listed under: 1 other name
Description: eukaryotic LSU rRNA
Rfam family: 5.8S ribosomal RNA (bases 1-105)
Source: RNAcentral